GAGCAUCAGAGCAAAGCCCCAGGGCUUUUGUUUGUUUCCUUACAUUGAAAUAUGUUGAGAAGAAAGAGUUUCAAAAAUUGACUGGAGAAUGACUUGUGGUUCCAAGCGCUCACAAGUUCAGUUUUUGCCAAGACGUGUCAGUUACAACACGCUUGGUAGAAGAGCUGGGACAAUGUAGAAUUGAAGUAGGUUUCCUGCCCCACAUCAGUAGUUGGGCUGCCAGCAGUUAUUACACUGCUCCUAGCUCAUCCCUAUGCAAGGCAAGCUCUUACACACAACACCAGAUUAUGUAUUUCCAUUUUAAGUUAUUUCCUUGAAAAGACGGGAACUUUCAGUUCUUUCAUUCCUUACUUAGAAACAAACUGAUCACACGAGGGUCACUCUACUAGACACUGAUACACAAGACAUGGAGAGCAACAAAAGCCUAUGGUGUUUUCUUAUUAAAAAGAGCAUUAACCGUCUUCACUCCCAACUCUGCUUCCUCUUCAAAGGAAACUGCAAUUUCCUAUCGAAACAACAUCAGACAGAAAGAGAAAUACCAGAUCCAAUCUGCCAGAGACAGCACUUUGGCGUUUUACUAUUAGCACCUAGAAAUACUCAUGCCCUAAACAGGAGGAUCGGUUUCACCGCCACUCCUGGGGGAAAAAACCAGCAGCUCCCAGCUCAGCAGUGUCUUCUGCUGGAUGGCAUCUCCCAUUGCAGCAGCAACCCAACUCCCAUUGUAUUAAUGAUCAUAUCAAGGCUGGCACAAAGAAAGAGAAAACCCCUGAGAAAGAACAGGAAAGGGAAGCCUGAAGAACAUUUAAGCUAAGAUUGCCUCUCUUAACCAAGCUUUAGCACAAACCAUCAAUACCUUUCACAGUUAAAGCAUUCAGGAUAGCUCUCUUCACCAGCCUCUCUCUCCUGCCCGUUGUUUCUGAAGAGUCAUCCAAACCAGGAUAGCUUUCAACAUGCGCGCCUCCAUUUCUCUGUACAAGACUAACACUGUGUGUCAAAAAUACUCUGUUUUAUUUAAUCGAAACAGAAGCUGACCAGGUUCCACCUCCACAGAAAAGAAAAAAAAAAACACAUUUAAAAUUGGUUACACUAAGAGCCUUCUGUAACACCCAAGCAGCACACUGCCAACAAAAUCAAACCCAAGAUGUUUCAAAGAAAAAAAAAUAAAUCGAUGUUGUCCUCAAAAUAUUUGUUACACAGAAUACAAUCAAGUUUACUGGUUAUGACAAUUCAUAGAAUUUCUGCAAUGUUUUCUUGAGUUGCGUACAGUUCACUGCUGCAGUGCAUCAAAUAGCACAGCGUGUCACGUGCUAUUUCUCCAUAAAAAGGCCACUGGAAUAUCCAUCUGAACGUGAACCAGGUUGCAAACUGCUGCGCAAACUCUCCCAAGAAAAGAAGUUUCCUGAAGAUCUCACAGCUCGUCUUUAUCCCAGAUAUCAUCCAGGUCCACAUCGCUGAGAUCAAUAUCAUCUUCAACCGGAAGCUCACCAUCUUUGCCAUCCCAAGGUUCAACUGCAUGAAUUUUAGGGAAAGCUCCACCUCCUACUGGUGCUGUAGAACCACGACCAACAGACAGUUCCCUGAGAAACUCAUUAAUCCCUUGCUCACUGAAUGAUCCCUUCAGGAGGGCAAAUUUCAUCUUCCGGGCAUUAAUGGCUGCCAUUGCUGGAUACCCAAAGCCUCCUAUUCCCAAAGAGCUCUCAAGAUCUGACUGAGCACCAGCUUCGGUCCACAGCCACCCCCACAUUUUCUUUUUGUAUUUCUCAGCCAUUUUUAGCAUGACAUCCAGGUAAGAAUUCCUCCCCGAGGCUCCUGUGUCAAGAAUAUGAGGCAGGACAGAAAUGAUGCAGAGCUGAUGAGCAUCACAGGUAGUCUUCAGAACAUCUUCAUUAAUUAUCUCCAGGAGCUCAGGUGGUGGUGCGUUAUCAGAAAACAGAUCCAGAGCACGAGCAGUGAUAUCAGAUCUAGUUCUCCCUCCAUCAUAAUCAACAGGGUCUUCUCCUUUCUGGAAUAUUUUAAUUGUGGGAAAUCCACGAAUCCCGUAUCGGUUUGCCAGCAUCUGAUUGACUGUUGCAUCUACUGCAGCCAGCUUGACUUUUCCCUUGGUUUGUUCCUUCACCUCAGUGGCAGCAGCUGCCCAUUCUGGCUCCAGAUUUUUGCAGUGCCCACACCAUGGGGCAUAAAACUCCACCAUCCACACAUCAUCACUAUUUAUGACAUUCUUAUCGAAGCUGUCAUCAGUCAGUUCAAUCACGUCCUUCUUAUCUCCGCCUCCGCUCUCUCGGCUCUGUCUCCCAGAACUGUAUCCUCCACUUCUGCCACUGAGACGGUCUUUCACCAGGGACCGAAGAGCACUUAGAGCAGCAUCGACAAUGGCUUCGCUUGUCCUGCCACCCUGAUAAUCUUCAGCUUUGUUUUUGUUGGCUCCAAAUAUCUUGAUAGUUGGAAAACCUCUGACUCCAUACUGUCCACCCAAAGACUGAUGCUUAUCUGCAUCUACUGCACCUACUUUCACUACACCUUUUAAUGCUGUUGCAGCUUUCUUCCACUCAGGGGUUAGUCUUUGACAAUGACCACACCAUGGGGCGUAGAACUCCACGAGCCACAGGCUCUCACUCUGAAUGACCUCCUUGUUGAAGUUGGUUGGUGUUAGCUCUAUCACAUCAUCACUGGCCGAAUAUAAACCGUUAACUGCCAGGAAUAACGUGCAGCUCACUGUGCCCCACCACAGGCCGCCCGUUCCGCGCACCCCCAUGACUACAACCACUCUCCACCGCCGCCGCCGCUCCACACAGCC
RNAcentral lists this long non-coding RNA (2794 nucleotides) under Gallus gallus (chicken). The record is from RNAcentral. Lineage: Eukaryota; Metazoa; Chordata; Aves; Galliformes; Phasianidae.